Molecule: long non-coding RNA, 5298 nt
Organism: Acinonyx jubatus (cheetah)
Lineage: Eukaryota; Metazoa; Chordata; Mammalia; Carnivora; Felidae
Exons: 6
Source: RefSeq, a predicted model, not a curated record
UCGUUGCAAGGCUUCCAGUCAGUUGGCUGGAGAACGAAAGUGGGCAGGGAGGAAGUCAGAAGGGAAAGGGAAAGAGCGAGCCGAUUCUGCUUGCGGGAACAUUCGCCUGGCCGGCUGGGAUGCCCCCCAGGGGGCGGUGCCCUUUUCCCGGCGACCUCCGGGAGCGGGGCGGGGCCGGGUUUGUUUCCAUUUUGAAAACCCGGGCGCGGGCGGCGGUGGAGCUGAGCUUCCCGGGAGGGGCGAGGUCCGGGGAGGCGGGGCAGCUGAGCGCCCUCUGCCGGGUUUUCCGAGUUCGCGGUCACCCUUCCCUGCGUUGGGGUGGCAGUCCGUUGAUUUGACCUCAAUAUAGAGAGCCUUAGCAUGUGUGUGGGCCCACAAGAUCCUUGCUGAAAAAGAGAAGACAUCACUGUAAGGUCAGUGAAUUCAGGGGGAGCCAGGAUGAUAUUGUAAGUAGUUAAUAAUUACCCUGACCAUGCUAUCUAGACUGAAGCUCUCCCAAGGCAACGCUUAGUGCAGAGCCCUGCAGAGAAGUUUCUUUUAAAAAAGCAAAAUUGUGGAAUAAGUGAAGUAUGUCAGUGACUUUUCACUUCCUUUUUUCAUUAUACUUUCGACCUGCUUCUGAAACCACCAUGAUGACUUCAGAGACCAGGGCCCUCUGAUGGCCCCUGAAAGCGCAGGGUUCCCAGCCAGACUUGACUGUCCUGUGCUUUGGACUUAUCCUUGGGUAGGUGUGCCCUGGAGUGUUUUCAUUACCUUUUAUGUAAUAAUUCCCACAAAUUUCAAUAGGUUGUGAUUCAUUACAUGCUUAAUCAAAUAUUACUUGUAUAUCUUUGUGAGAACUGGUACGUGAUUUAAUUUACAAAAUCAGUAAAAGAAAGUCCUUGCUUAAACCAUACAUCCUGAGUUUUGCUUCUGAAAAUACCAAUGCUGUAUCUACAAACCCAGCUCCAGUAUAUCCACACUGAGGUGCUGAUGAUAGAUAAAAGCUUAAUAAAUAACCCUUUCCAGAAGAAUGGGUACUGCAACACACAUUGCCUUAACCCACAGACAUUGCCUCUCUUCCUUUCUUGUUAUCUUGCUAAUCAGUUGUGGGAGCCCUUUUCUACCUUAAUAUCAUUUCAACAUAGUGAUUCAGACUUCUGUUGGUCGACUGGUAUUGGCCUGUGAUACAUGAUCUGCUUACCAUCCAAUUUAAAGGAAUGGAACUCCAGAGGUGGGAUUGAAGGCAGCAACAAGGAACCAGACUCAUAGCCCAGCCCAGCCCAGAUGACAGUCUGCAGGGAUACGAGUUCUACUUCCCACUGUUAACAAGGCGCUCAACCCUGGGCAAGUCACUUGACUCCUUCUCAUCUAUAACAUGAGAGAGAAAGACAGAGUGUGAGCAGGGAAAGGGCAGAGAGAGAAGGAGACACAGAAUCUGAAGGAGGCUCCAGGCUCUGAGCUGUCAGUACAGAGCCCAAUGAGGGUUCAAACUCAUGGACUACGAGAUCAUGACCUGAGCCAAAGUCAGACACUUACCCGACUAAGCCACCCAGGGGGCUCAGAAAUAUUCCUUUGCUUUGAAUGUCCUCCAUCUGGAAGAGUUUAGCUAAUUAAACCAAAGAUCACGGAUGAGUUGGCCCCAUUUAUCUCCAAUGGAUGAAAUCCUUUUCUCUCCAGAGGAUUCUUCAGACAAAUAUCAAGGCAGUCCCUUGCUUCACCCAGUGGGCCUUCCGAUCUCUUCCUUAGCAAGGCAAUGUGGUGCUGAGCACCAGAAAAUUCCCAGGGAGAGCCUCUGCCAAAAUGCAAAACCAAGGAAAAAGGAUAAAAGCAACAGUUUUGGACCAGGCUGGCAGAAAUGGUAAACCCCAUCUGCCAUAUUUGCUUUUUCUUAAUCUAAAAUAACAGAGAUAACAUACACAAUGGAGUUUCUAACUUGCCACUUUUCCCUUAUCUUUUUUCCCUUUGUGAGCCUAAGACAUCGUGUUCUUUCAUAUAACCUCUCUCUCUCAAAAAAAAAAAAAAAAAAAAAAAAACCAACAACAACAAAAACAAAAAAAAACCCUUGGCCAUUCCGUUCCCUGCCGCCCAUGGAGAAGAACAGACUCUAUCUGAUAUUUCAGCUGGAAGGCAGGGUGGCAGAUUCUUUCCAAUGGGGUGGCGACUUCCUCCCUACUCUCAGAACACACCCCUUCCCAAAAAUACGCCCUCCUGGGCAAGCAGCACAAAGGGAAUGUCAGCAAAUGCCCACAUCCCUUCCUUUUCCUUUUACACCCAGUGGCCUGGGAAUGGCGGGCACGCUCGGGGAAUGCACACCACCAAUCGGUGUGCGGCCCCAUGGGGCCUGUAAAGCGGCCUUGCUCUCAUCUCUUGCCCUCUUGGACCGUCUUCCAAACCAACUGCCAGAAGGGAUUGUCCUAAAACGCAAAUCUGAUCAUUUCAUUUCAUCUACUUAAGAACUUGCUGUGGCCUUUUGGCCCACAAUGAGGGUUCCCAAACUCCUGCCUGAGGUCUAUGCCAGCUAUAUAAGAAGCAUUGUAUUCAGAUGUAGUUUGUAGAGUUUAGGUUAGAACCUGGGGAUCUGCCUAUGUUAGCCUGAAUUCUUUAGGUUGGUAAGUGACAGUAACUCAUCUCAAACUAGCUUAGGUCAAAAAAGGAAUCUAUUAUUUCCUCUGACAAGGAAGUUUAGGGGGUAAAAUGAUCUCAAUUAUAUGUGAGAUUUUAAUUUAUGGAGGUAACUAAAUGAUGAUGUGGAGACGUCAAUACCAUUGAAAGACUAAAGUAUUAAUUAAUUACCUAAGAGGAGAGGGUAUGCUAUGCCACACAGGACCAUUUGGGGAAGCACGAGGUGGAAGGGAGCGGGGGUGGAGUGGGAUCGUUGAGGGGGCGUAGACCACAGCCUUUGUUGGGAUUCCUGCGGGACAGGCAAGGCAGUUUAGGACUAGCUAGUUUGAAUAAAUCAGGUGGCCUUUGGGGGUUAGCAACUGUACCUGGUAGUCUGUUACUGGGCCCUGGGUUGAUUUAGGGCAGGGGACAUAACGUCUUGGUGGUGUGAAUUCCCUGAAGGAGGUGACUUCAGAGUAUCAACUCUGGAUCUCAGGGGAGAUGUAAACAACUUCAGCUGUUACUUUGGGUGCCAAAGAGACCGAUGUAGAAUCUAAGAAAACACAAUUAGAACAAGAGCUGGCUUCAGUGGGAAUGGCUUUAGAGGUGUGCUAAUAAUGCAGCCACGAGCUACAUGUGGCUGUUGAACACUUAGAACGUGGGUAACACAAACUGAAAUGUGAUGGAGGUGUGAAACACAUGCCGGCUUUCAGACAGCAUAACGAAGAGAAAACUUGUAUAGCCCAGUGAUUUGACAAUUCUGUGCGUUGCUCAGUGCUCACCAGCAUCGGUGUGGUUGCCAUCUGUCACCCGCAACAUUAUUACAGUAUUAUCGACUAUAUUUCCUAUGCUGUAAAAAACAAAACAAAACAAAAAAACCCUAUGUCAUUAAUGAUCUUUCAACUUUUUUUUUAAUGUUAUUUAUUUUUGAAAGAGAGAGAGAGAGUGUAUGUGAGUGCAAGUAGGGGAGGGGCAGAGAGAGAGAGGGGAACAGAGGAUGUGAAGUGGGCUCCACAGUGUCAGCACAGAGCCCGACAUGGGGCUCGAACCCAAGAACUGCGAGGUCAUGACCUGAGCCAAAGUUGGAUGCUCAACCAACUGAGCCGCCCAGGUGCCCCUAUGAUCUGUUAUAUUGAUUACAUGUUGAAAAUAAUAUUUAAUAUUUUGGAAAUAUUGGAUUAAAUAAAAUAUAGCAUGGAAAUUAAUUUCAUCUGUUUCCUUUUACUUUUCUUAACAUAGACACUAGAAACUUGAAACAGCACGUGCAGCUUGCACUUUGAGAGAGAGACAGAACGUGAGCUGGGGAGAAAGGCAGAGGGAGAGGAAGACACAGAAUCUGAAGCAGGCUCCAAGCUCUGAGCUGUCAGCACAGAGCCUGAUGGUGGGGCUCGAACUCAUGAACCGCGAGAUCAUGACUUCAGCCCAAGUCGGUUGCUUAACCGACCGAGCCACCCAGGCGCCCCUGGUUCACAUUAUAUUUCUAUUGGACAGCAGUCGUCAGGAUCAAAUGUUCUCUUUCUCUCUAUGGACUCUGCUCUUUUUACGUAUAUUUGUAAUUCAUUCUCUCCUACUUUAAACUGUCUUCCGUGUGUCUGCGAAGAUGGCUGCUGGUAUUUCCAAGCUUAUAGAAUUCCAGCUUCUCAAUGCCAUCCAAACGGGAAGUUCUUUCUUCCAUUGUUCAUAUAUCAAUCUCGGGGAAAGACACUCAAUGGCCCUGCUGAUGUCACAUUCCACCCCUUGGACAAAGCACUAUUGACAGGAAAACAGGUUCCUGUGACUUGUCAUGAAUUGCGUACCCAUCAAAUAGGGGUGGAGCAUCUGCGUGGCAUGGGAGAGGUGCACUACCCCAUAUGAUGAAAGGAACUCGUGGUUACUAAUGUGGUUUCAUUACACUUCCCAGGUGAUUCUGAUGCACAGUAAAGUUUGUUACGCGCCAGACCCUGGAGGUAAAACCCAACUGUAUUAGUGUGUGUUCGUGGUGCUUAUUAGGCCUUCUGUGGUCUGGUCUCCUGCUGACUUUAAUCUCUUGUCAGUUCCCUUCUCUUUCCUAGCUAUAUGUCAACAUUGUAUUGUUUAAAAUUUCUUGCAGCUCCCUAAACACUCCAUGCUGAAAACAUUUACUAUAGAAAUUGUCAAAUACACAUAAAAGUAGAGAGGAUAGUAUACUGAUCCCUCCAUAUACUAUCACCCAGCUUCAACAAUUAUCAGUGAAUGACCGAUCUUGUCCCACCCAUGCCCCCAUUACUUUUCCUAAUGGAUUAGUUGGAAGCAAAUUUCCAACAUCAUAUUGUUUCAUCUGUGAAUAUCGCAAUAAGUAUAUCUAUGGAUUAAGGAUCCUUAAAACAAGGUAAUCACAAUACCAUGUGGACUCUCAAAAACACAAUACUUCCUUGUUAUCAAAUAUCCAGCAGGUGUUCAAAUUUCUGUGGAUUGCUGGAGCUGGUUUCUCUGAUAUCCAAACAAGGUCGUUGGUAUGUCUCUCAGAUUUCUUUUAACCCAUAGGCUUCCCACCCUCUUUUUCUAACCUCGCAAGUUGUUUAUCGAAGAAACUGAGUAUUUUGUCUUGUAGAGUUACCCACAUAUUAGAUUUUAAUGGUGGCGACCUUAUGGUGUCGUUUCACAUGUUUGUUCUCUGCAUUUCCUAUAAACUGGUACUUAGAUUUCAAGCAGUGUUGCCCAAUAAAAAUAUCAUGUAAAUCACAAAGGCAAUUUUAA